GUGUAGAGGCGCAUGUGUCAUCAGUAGCAGUUUGGACAGAUAAGGAUGGAGGAAGAAUUGUGAAAGGGACUCGUGCCGAAGAGGAACAUCUCCUUAUAGGUGUUCUGUCUGGAUGUGCAGUUAAGAACUGUAUGUCUGUCACCGAGAGAGAAUUCCGGUAAGUGGGAAUCAGGUGGAGUGCUACGA
Molecule: non-coding RNA, 186 nt
Filed under: pig gut metagenome
Description: Lysine riboswitch
Rfam family: Lysine riboswitch aptamer
About the family: Riboswitches are metabolite binding domains within certain messenger RNAs that serve as precision sensors for their corresponding targets. Allosteric rearrangement of mRNA structure is mediated by ligand binding, and this results in modulation of gene expression.
Source: RNAcentral